GUUCUGACCGUGCUGAACGGCAGUGAUCCG
This 30-nucleotide non-coding RNA is filed under the name Actinoplanes sp. SE50/110. Lineage: Bacteria; Bacillati; Actinomycetota; Actinomycetes; Micromonosporales; Micromonosporaceae. The record is from RNAcentral.